RNAcentral lists this ribosomal RNA (326 nucleotides) under Corbicula japonica. RNAcentral describes it as "eukaryotic LSU rRNA". Lineage: Eukaryota; Metazoa; Mollusca; Bivalvia; Venerida; Cyrenidae. The record is from RNAcentral.
CGCUACUGACCCGAGGCGCCGGCAGUCUCCGGACCCGUGCUAGGGCGGCGGUUACGGUGCUCUGCGGAGCAGUGCAGCCGAGGUCGAACCUCCCCAGACGGCCCGGGACCGCACGGCGCGGCAAGCGUCCUCGGUCUCGCGGCGUGUCCACCGCGGCGGUCUAUAACACGACACCCCGAAGGGCGGCGCUACCUUACCGCCGGGCUUCUGACCGCCGCAAAACCGGUCGUAGCACUCGACCGCGGAGAAAGUGCACCCUGCCACGCGGACGUCCCGCUGGCCCGGUCCUUGCGGAUCCGAACUUUGCGAGCGCCGCUUGCGGCCGG